GGUGAUUGUGACAAAUAGGUGUUGUAUGUGCAAGAAGUCCGAGGAGACGGUGGAUCAUCUUCUCCUUCAUUGCGAGGUAGCUUAUACUUUGUGGAGCACCUUCUUCGGGCGGUUUGGGUUGUCUUGGGUGAUGCCGAAGAGGGUUUCGGAUUUUCUCGCUUGUUGGUGGUCUUCGGGGAGGAGGGAGAGUGCCGCGGUGUGGAAAAUGGUGCCUACGUGCUUUUUUUGGUGUCUAUGGAGGGAAAGGAAUAAUAGGUGCUUUGAGGAUGUGGAGGGGACUUGGGAAGACAUUUUAGCCUCUUGCUUUCAAACUUUGUAUCUUUGGACCGUUGCGCAUGUCUCUCCUGUUUCGAUUAGUUAUGAUGAUUUUCUUCUUCGUUUUUCUCCUUCUAGUUAGGUGAUCCUAUUGUAUACUCCCAGUGUACCUUGGGGCGCCUAUACGCUUUUUAAUAAAACUUCUUAUUACUUAUCAAAAAAAAAGUUUUGGGUAUUUUGUGUUUUGAGUUUGUUAAUACUUUUUAUUUUUUUGCUAAAAAGCAAAAAGCUGUUCUAAAAAUGUUACCGAACAAGCCUGAAGUUGUUGAGAGGCUGCCACCGGUGUGAUGGUUUACACAUAUUAGUUACAAAAUGGGAACAUCGGCCUCUUGAUAGGUUGCCACUGGCCAUGUCAGGAUCAAAAUGAAUGUAUAGAUGUUUGCCACUGGCCUUCUUAUGUAAGAAAGAAACAACCUGUGAAACUGCGGUAGAGCGAUGAAUCAUCCAUAUUAGGAACAGGGGGGGGUGAAUGAUCCAUUUCAGUGCUGUAAAGGAGGCAGAGUGCUGGUCGUUGGCCCUGCUGGCAGAAUCAGUUAACUGACUGGGGCAAUUUCUAGUUGUCAAUGGCAACCGUUCAAUGUUUGAAUUGGGAAAAGUCUGAAAGAAAUGUAUUUGUGGAUGAUCAGACGACAAAUAUCUCUAUUCUCAGCAUUGACACGAUGGGGGAGCAAGAGACAUCAUUCCUGGGACAAUUGUUGCACGUUUCGUGAGUCCCCAUCUCCAGGUUUACUGAAUCUGUUCAUUCUUAUUCUUUAUGUUUGAUGGUUAUGCAACUCCUAAUUUUGAGUGUUGGUUAGUUUCAUUAUCUGACAUAGACCAUGUCUAGGAUCGCUUAGGAUAUUCAGAUUUAUGUUGAUGGUUGAGACUUUGACCUUUCUUCUUUCACAUUCAUUUGUUGAGAAUUUUUGGCUUUUCUUCUUUCACAUUUCAUUUCUCUCUUCAAUGGAAGCUGGAUAGUGAAGGUGGCUAGGAUUAAGGACUACAUGGACUUCAUUGCUGGGACUAGCAAGGAGUCUUUGUCACAGCUAUGCUUAGCACACCAAAUGAAAGCAACUGGCCUUUGUUCACUGCAAAGAUACACUAACAACUUUCAUGUUCAAGAAAGUCCACUUAUUUUUCCCCCAGAAAUCAGAACAGGCCCAUCAGCUUUUCAAAAUGUAGACUGCAAACUAUGGCAAUCUUGUUUGGGAAUAGUAGAAGAAAAUAUUGAAAAUAUUUCUCCCAAGUUAUGAGAAAGAAAUCAUUUUAACU
Molecule: long non-coding RNA, 1566 nt
Organism: Corylus avellana
Lineage: Eukaryota; Viridiplantae; Streptophyta; Magnoliopsida; Fagales; Betulaceae
Source: RefSeq, a predicted model, not a curated record